RNAcentral lists this ribosomal RNA (255 nucleotides) under uncultured bacterium. Its description in RNAcentral is "partial 16S ribosomal RNA". It matches the Rfam family "Bacterial small subunit ribosomal RNA", at positions 206 to 469 of the family's 1533-position model. The record is from RNAcentral.
GAUUUAUCGGUGAGAGAUGGGUCCGCGUCUGAUUAGCCAGUUGGCGGGGUAACGGCCCACCAAAGCGACGAUCAGUAGCCGGCCUGAGAGGGCGGACGGCCACAUUGGGACUGAGACACGGCCCAGACUCCUACGGGAGGCAGCAGUGGGGGAUAUUGCACAAUGGGCGCAAGCCUGAGGCAGCGACGCCGCGUGAGUGAAGAAGUAUUUCGGUAAGGGAGCUCUAUCAGCAGGGAAGAAAGGCCCGCAAGGGAG